GACGAACGCUGGCGGCGUGCUUAACACAUGCAAGUCGAACGGAAAGGCCCUGCUUUUGUGGGGUGCUCGAGUGGCGAACGGGUGAGUAACACGUGAGUAACCUGCCCUUGACUUUGGGAUAACUUCAGGAAACUGGGGCUAAUACCGGAUAGGAGCUCCUGCUGCAUGGUGGGGGUUGGAAAGUUUCGGCGGUUGGGGAUGGACUCGCGGCUUAUCAGCUUGUUGGUGGGGUAGUGGCUUACCAAGGCUUUGACGGGUAGCCGGCCUGAGAGGGUGACCGGCCACAUUGGGACUGAGAUACGUCCCAGACUCCUACAGGAGGCAGCAGUGAAGAAUAUUACACAAUGGGCGGAAGCCUGAUGCAGCAACGCCGCGUGCGGGAUGACGGCCUUCGGGUUGUAAACCGCUUUCGCCUGUGACGAAGCGUGAGUGACGGUAAUGGGUAAAGAAGCACCGGCUAACUACGUG
This 468-nucleotide ribosomal RNA is filed under the name uncultured bacterium. RNAcentral's name for it is "partial 16S ribosomal RNA". It matches the Rfam family "Bacterial small subunit ribosomal RNA", at positions 28 to 507 of the family's 1533-position model. The record is from RNAcentral.